AAUGACGGNACCUGAAGAAUAAGCACCGGCUAAUNACGUGCCAGCAGCCGCGGUAAUACGUAGGGUGCAAGCGUUAAUCGGAAUUACUGGGCGUAAAGCGUGCGCAGGCGGUUUUGUAANUCUNUCGUGAAAGCCCCGGGNUCAACCUGGGAAUGGCGAUGGAGACUGCAAGGCUUGAAUCUGGCAGAGGGGGGUAGAAUUCCACGUGUAGCAGUGAAAUGCGAAGAGAUGUGGAGGAACACCGAUGGCGAAGGCANCCCCCUGGNUCAAGAUUGACGNUCAUGCACGAAAGCGUGGGGAGCAAACAGGAUUAGAUACCCCUGGUANUCCACGCCCGUAAACGAUGAGUGCUAGACGUCGGNGCCCUCAGGGCUUUCGGUGUCGCCGCUAAACGCAUUAAGCA
RNAcentral lists this ribosomal RNA (403 nucleotides) under uncultured bacterium #0319-6M24. RNAcentral's name for it is "partial 16S ribosomal RNA". It matches the Rfam family "Bacterial small subunit ribosomal RNA", at positions 468 to 866 of the family's 1533-position model. The record is from RNAcentral. Lineage: Bacteria; Pseudomonadati; Pseudomonadota; Betaproteobacteria.